UCCUUUUGGUGCACGGUGUUUUUUAUGCAGUCUAAGAUAAAAAUGCAUAAAAAACACCAUGCACCAAAAGGA
Non-coding RNA from Podarcis lilfordi (Lilford's wall lizard), 72 nucleotides. The record is from the annotation of a GenBank genome assembly. Lineage: Eukaryota; Metazoa; Chordata; Lepidosauria; Squamata; Lacertidae.